Molecule: non-coding RNA, 46 nt
Organism: Mesocricetus auratus (golden hamster)
Lineage: Eukaryota; Metazoa; Chordata; Mammalia; Rodentia; Cricetidae
Source: Rfam
GAAAAGGAGUUUUUGAACUCCACUUCCAAUUUCAAACCAAGUAUGG